RNAcentral lists this ribosomal RNA (373 nucleotides) under Bacillus sp. PSu4_16. RNAcentral describes it as "bacterial SSU rRNA". It matches the Rfam family "Bacterial small subunit ribosomal RNA", at positions 50 to 411 of the family's 1533-position model. The record is from RNAcentral. Lineage: Bacteria; Bacillati; Bacillota; Bacilli; Caryophanales; Bacillaceae.
UAUACAUGCAGUCGAGCGGACCGACGGGAGCUUGCUCCCUUAGGUCAGCGGCGGACGGGUGAGUAACACGUGGGUAACCUGCCUGUAAGACUGGGAUAACUCCGGGAAACCGGGGCUAAUACCGGAAUGCUUUGAUUGAACCGCAUGGUUCAAUCAUAAAAGGCGGCUUUCGGCUGCCGUUUACAGAUGGACCCGCGGCGCAUUAGCUAGUUGGUGAGGUAACGGCUCACCAAGGCGACGAUGCGUAGCCGACCUGAGAGGGUGAUCGGCCACACUGGGACUGAGACACGGCCCAGACUCCUACGGGAGGCAGCAGUAGGGAAUCUUCCGCAAUGGACGAAAGUCUGACGGAGCAACGCCGCGUGAGUGAUGA